AGCUGGAAUAUUGGUUCUUAGCAUCGCUGUUGAAAGUGCCAGAUCUAACUCUUCCGGCUUA
Molecule: microRNA precursor, 61 nt
Filed under: Eisenia fetida (common brandling worm)
Lineage: Eukaryota; Metazoa; Annelida; Clitellata; Crassiclitellata; Lumbricidae
Description: Efe-Mir-750-P3_pre stem-loop
Source: RNAcentral